Long non-coding RNA from Biomphalaria glabrata, 468 nucleotides. RefSeq lists it as uncharacterized. Lineage: Eukaryota; Metazoa; Mollusca; Gastropoda; Planorbidae. The transcript is spliced from 3 exons. The record is from RefSeq and is a predicted model, not a curated record.
GUGAAGUUUUCUUGUUGUGUUUAAUAUUUGUGUUUUAGUGUAUAGGAAGUAGUUUGCAUUAGGUGCGUUGAUGUCUAGAAUAUUGUGUAUGUGUAUGUUUAGGUUAGCUGGUUUUCUGUUUCCCCGUUGUAACGACAGAUUGUUCAGACAGGUAGAUUGCCAGCUCCCGAAGACCUAGAGUGCCAGGAGUCUUAGGGUUAACUAUUCCGAACAAGAAGAAUAUGCACUGUCCGUAAGAGUUGAUGAUGAUUGACAACAUAACGAUGCAGUGGAAGUUGGUGUUGACAAAUUAACGUUUCAAAUAAAAUCAUUUUCAAUGAAAAAAACAGAACAAAAGAAAACGAAAGACUUUCAACUAGAGAGUGAUUCAGGUUUCUUAAAAGAACGAUUCGCAUAGAGAGGAAGCCAGUGGUCACGAGGUGGUCCAGAUCUGUAGUCUAGCUGUCAUUAAACAUCUUUUAAUUCAUC